RNAcentral lists this ribosomal RNA (406 nucleotides) under uncultured bacterium. Its description in RNAcentral is "partial 16S ribosomal RNA". It matches the Rfam family "Bacterial small subunit ribosomal RNA", at positions 30 to 526 of the family's 1533-position model. The record is from RNAcentral.
AUUGAACGCUGGCGGCAGGCCUAACACAUGCAAGUCGAGCGAGCGGCGGACGGGUGAGUAAUGUCUGGGAAACUGCCUGAUGGAGGGGGCUAACUACUGGAAACGGUAGCUAAUACCGCAUACCAUCAGAUGUGCCCAGGUGGGAUUAGCUAGUAGGUGGGGUAAUGGCUCACCUAGGCAACGAUCCCUAGCUGGUCUGAGAGGAUGACCAGCCACACUGGAACUUAGACACGGUCCAGAUUCCUACGGGAGGCAACAGUGGGGAAUAUUGGACAAUGGGCGCAAGCCUGAUGCAGCCAUGCCGCGUGUGUGAAGAAGGCCUUCGGGUUGUAAAGCACUUUCAGCGGGGAGGCGUUACCCGCAGAAUAAGCACCGGCUAACUCCGUGCCAGCAGCCGCGGUAAUUC